AACCAUCGAUGCAACCAUCGAUUAUAUCGAUGGACUUUAAUUUUUAUGAUAUAUCGAUGAACUUUUGUCGAUAUCGAUAUAUCGCCGCUUUGAGUAACAAAUCAAACACAUUUGACAAGCAUAGCAUACGGACAUUGUUAAACAUUGGUAGUUCCUCUUCAACAUGGACAAGUUUGUCGUUUCAAAUCAAACCUGCAAUGCCUCCACUACAAUUGCAUCUUCAAAUGCAUUGACUGAAUCCAAUGAGCCUAGCAUGAAACGAAAAAAAAUCACAUCAGAAGUUUGGUCACAUUUUGAGAAGCUGAUGAACAUGCUUGCCAAAUGCCGUCAUUGCGGAAAAGAGUACCGCACGAGCGGCAACACUUCCAAUAUGAUGGAACACUUAAGACGUGUACAUCCCUUCGUGGUAAGAGACCACGUUGAAACAACUGCUCCAUUCUCCUCAUGACAUCGAUCCGCCACAAUUUUGGAAGAUUAACGAACACCAAUUAAAUGCACUCAGCUGUUGUGCUAUUAAAUACUUAGCUAUUCCAGCUAGCUCUGUGGAAAGUGAGCGCAUUUUUAGCAAGGCGGGUGAAUUGAUUUCUGACCGCCGGGCGUCUUUGAAAGAAAAA
This is a long non-coding RNA of Drosophila mojavensis, 614 nucleotides long. RefSeq lists it as uncharacterized. Lineage: Eukaryota; Metazoa; Arthropoda; Insecta; Diptera; Drosophilidae. The record is from RefSeq and is a predicted model, not a curated record. The transcript has 4 exons.